Rhodamnia argentea is the source of this 1379-nucleotide long non-coding RNA. RefSeq lists it as uncharacterized. The record is from RefSeq and is a predicted model, not a curated record. NCBI's taxonomy places the organism in Eukaryota, Viridiplantae, Streptophyta, Magnoliopsida, Myrtales, Myrtaceae. The transcript has 2 exons.
UUGCCCAACAGAAUUUACAUGAGAAGCUCUGAAGUAUCAUCGAGAAGUUUCACGACUGAGCGAUAUCUAUUCUUUCUAUGGUGAUCUUCUCCACGUGCUGAGCAACGAGGAUCACUACAGGCUUGCUUUUGGGCAAAUUAACACAGCAAGGAAACGUAUUAGAAAGGUUGCUAAAUGCAAUGUUCAGCUGUUGGAAGUAUUGUGACUCACUCUACCGAUGCAAGUUUUCUAAAGGCCGCUGCUCUUGGAGAAUGUAUACUGUGAUUAAGCGGCUUAGUCUUAGUUUGGCUUAUCUAGAACAGAUUAGAGGGUGCCUUCAGUAGAUCCAAAUACUCGGACUAUCCUGAUUUGUGGGUACCCAAAUGUUGGGAAGAGCUCUUUUAUGAAUAAGAUCACAAGGGCUGAUUUUGAUGUGCAGCCUUAUACUUUCACUUCUUGGUUUGGUUUAUCUAGAACGGAUGAUGGUGGAGGGACUAUGGAUGUGGACUUAGACCAGUGCAAAAAGAAGUUGGAACGAGGUUCUGGUCAAGGUUCUUUACUAUACCUCUGGAAAGUGGAAAGGGUGCUGGAUUUAGUUAUGCCGGUACCGGCUCUCAAGGAUUCCGGUUAAAGGGAAACGCUUUUUAAAGCUUGCGAAGAAGUGUGUGAAAAAGAGAAACAAUGAUGCUUGUCGGGGAAAGGCAGAGUUAUUCCUUCCCUCAAACCAGAACACUUCUUCUCCGGCAAAUGCUCAAUUGGAAAGAUCCAAAAAUGAUAAAAGUUUUAGCAAAAUGCAAUAAGGAUCUUUCAGGGAGAGAUUCUCAAGGUCUUCUCUUGGGAAGCGCUUGGCGUCUGUUGUCAGCUGCUUCGUCGGAAUGGAUGUUCUUCUGGGUUCUUCAGGUUACUUGGUAAAGAGUUUCAGGGUAGUGGAUUCCCCACCAUGGGAUUGGUCUUCAUUUAUCGUCAUCACUUUUUAUGUGCUUCUUGAGGAUCUCUUCAGUUCAAUUCCUCUCUCGUCCUGUCCAGUAGUGUCCUGAUCGGAAUCCGAUCAUACUCAUUAUGGUUUCCCAUCUAUGGUGAACAAGGAACUUGGGGAUGGUUUUUCGGGCAUCGUCUGCAUGGUCCAUGAGCUACAAACUAAUGCAGGGUCAUUGCUGGCCAUGACAUUCAAUCACUUGCUUUCUGAUGUCCCUCAGAGUUGCAAUCUUCCAUUCCUGAGAAGGGUCAAAGUGGAGAAGCUUUUUGAAAACGGAUAAGAGCUUCUUGCAUGUUGCCCAUUUUAGAUGCUGUUUUAGUGCGUUUUCAAGUAGAUAUAUUAUAAGGGUCAAUAUCAUUGGUGGUCUUGGUCUAUGUACUUUUGCCUGGAUAUUGAAACAGUAACCCCACUUUGUUUUUUCUUU